RNAcentral lists this ribosomal RNA (750 nucleotides) under Klebsiella sp. HGH0238. RNAcentral's name for it is "bacterial SSU rRNA". It matches the Rfam family "Bacterial small subunit ribosomal RNA", at positions 76 to 824 of the family's 1533-position model. The record is from RNAcentral. Lineage: Bacteria; Pseudomonadati; Pseudomonadota; Gammaproteobacteria; Enterobacterales; Enterobacteriaceae.
GAGCUUGCUCUCGGGUGACGAGCGGCGGACGGGUGAGUAAUGUCUGGGAAACUGCCUGAUGGAGGGGGAUAACUACUGGAAACGGUAGCUAAUACCGCAUAAUGUCGCAAGACCAAAGUGGGGGACCUUCGGGCCUCAUGCCAUCAGAUGUGCCCAGAUGGGAUUAGCUAGUAGGUGGGGUAACGGCUCACCUAGGCGACGAUCCCUAGCUGGUCUGAGAGGAUGACCAGCCACACUGGAACUGAGACACGGUCCAGACUCCUACGGGAGGCAGCAGUGGGGAAUAUUGCACAAUGGGCGCAAGCCUGAUGCAGCCAUGCCGCGUGUGUGAAGAAGGCCUUCGGGUUGUAAAGCACUUUCAGCGGGGAGGAAGGCGAUAAGGUUAAUAACCUUGUCGAUUGACGUUACCCGCAGAAGAAGCACCGGCUAACUCCGUGCCAGCAGCCGCGGUAAUACGGAGGGUGCAAGCGUUAAUCGGAAUUACUGGGCGUAAAGCGCACGCAGGCGGUCUGUCAAGUCGGAUGUGAAAUCCCCGGGCUCAACCUGGGAACUGCAUUCGAAACUGGCAGGCUAGAGUCUUGUAGAGGGGGGUAGAAUUCCAGGUGUAGCGGUGAAAUGCGUAGAGAUCUGGAGGAAUACCGGUGGCGAAGGCGGCCCCCUGGACAAAGACUGACGCUCAGGUGCGAAAGCGUGGGGAGCAACAGGAUAGAUACCCUGGUAGUCACGCCGUAACGAUGUCGAUUUGGAGGU